CCUUCUGUUUAUUCCGUUUGAGGUUUACCGAACUUAUUCUAAAUGUGGGGGUGGGGGCACUUUCUAGGCCCUUUAGUCUUUCCAAGGAAGUAAUUUCUUAUGGUUAAAAACAGAGCUCUGCUUCUCUACAUGAGUUCUAACAGUGGCUAUCUCUUGCUUUUGCGGCAGGUAUUCAUGAAAAGGGAGGGGAUGCGGCAGGCAGGCGUUGCCGGUAGGGAUCCUGCCUGCCUCCGGGAUCUCAGAGUUCAGAGUUGCUGAGCGCUGGAAGGACUGAAGGACCUCUGGGGUCAGAAAGCAGCUCAGACCUCUGGAAAAGCGAGCCUCAGGGGCAAUCUGCCAAGCGCAGGGCCCAGGGGAGGGACUCCCCACGCCCAGCCCCGGAAGAGCAGCCUGCUGCCCGGGUUCAGGCAGGACUCCCCGCUCGGCAGGUUGGGGCUCGCCUGUACGCACACCUCCAGGACCACGGGAGCCAGAGGAUACCUGUCAUCCUCUGCAGUGGCCUUCUGCCUGUUGUCCCUGGGGGCAUCUCUGCAGAGACUCAGUGGGAAGACAGUGUCACAGGUGAGAGCCACGGGGGAUCGCUGCUCUGCGACGCCACAGCCCCUGGCUCCUCACGGAAGCAAACGAAGCAAAAUGCUGCUGUUGGCCGUGGGUGAGAAUUCCUGAGCCCCUCAGUGCUGAGAGAUUAAGGGACCUGCCAAGAUGCUCCAGUUACAAGGCCCCCACCUGCUGAAGAUGUUAGAGAAGUCCUUGAGGACGAGUCUCCCUGAGUCCUUAAAGGCAGCUGCGUUGUGUCUGCAGAACCCAGGAGGAAGGGGGGGCUCAGGUAGACGACCUGACCAGGCUCAUCAUGCCAGCAGUGAGUGGCGACGCAGUGGCUGGAGCCCAUCAUCAUCUUUGCUGUGUGAUGACGCCAAA
Cervus elaphus (red deer) is the source of this 918-nucleotide long non-coding RNA. RefSeq lists it as uncharacterized. The transcript is spliced from 3 exons. The record is from RefSeq and is a predicted model, not a curated record. NCBI's taxonomy places the organism in Eukaryota, Metazoa, Chordata, Mammalia, Artiodactyla, Cervidae.